GGCCGGCUCCUGAAACCGCUCUUAAAGGGACCGCGCCUAAUUCCCAACCCCCAGCGCCCUAUCCCAGGAAAGAGGCCUAGGCCCGGGAGACCGCGCCCUUCUAGGGAUGAGGAAACUGAGACUUAGAUCAAGCCAGCAUGAAGGUGACAGAACCAAGGCUCGCGUAACAACAGUGUGCUUUGGAGUCACCAUCCACCAAUAAUCACUUAGCACCAACCUUUCGUUUGGUCUCAGCACAAGGUUUUGAAGCACCUGAUGUGUGCCCGAAUCCUGCUCCAUCCCAGCUGUUCAAAGGAAGUUUCCUCUGCCAGCCCUGACGUGGAGCAAUGCCCGACCAGACGCACGCGAGCCUCCGCAACUGAGAGUGCAAGUGAGAGCACCGGAAGGAGGGAGGGGAAGACGGAGAGGGAGAAGCAGAUCGUCCGCUGAACAGGGAGCCCCACACGGAGCUUGAUCUCAGGACCCCGGGGUCACGACCUGAGCCCAAGGCAGCCGCUUAACUGACUGAGCCACCCAGAGAUCACAAGUAGGCGGAGAGGCAGGUAAAGAGAGAGGAGGAAGCAGGCUCCCCACUGAGCAGAGAGCCCGAUGUGGGGCUCGAUCCCAGGACCCUGGGAUCAUGACCUGAGCUGAAGGCAGAGGCUUUAACCCAUUGAACCACCCAGGUGCCCCAGUAACUUAUUAUUUUUAACAAGAUCUAGUAACAGUUGUUACGUUAUUAUUCUAUUGUUAUUGAUUCUUUUAUUAAUUCCAUACUGGUUAACUUUUGUGUUGUUAUCAGUACCAGUUGUUAAUAUCAUGUUAAUGGUAUUAAUAAGCAUUUACUAAUGUUGUCAUCGGCUGCUGUUUCAUUACUGUUAUUAAUCCUGAGAGUCUCCAGCCCCUCGUUGGCAGGCAAUAGGCGUUCUCCCCGACGGUUUGAGAGCAAGGGCGGUGGCACCUGCUGGCUGAGGCUACCUCCUUUGCUUCAGGGCAAUUCGGAUAAACCUCCUUCUCACUCUGGGCCCCAGGGACCUAUGAAGUGGGAGGAGCCACGGCAAGAAGAGGAAAAUCGCAGUUCAGAGCGGGGGUGCUCUCAAAUCUAGGGCAAGGCGACAGAAGAGGUGUUUGUUGUAAACCCGUUGCCUUUAGAAGGAAAAGCAUGAACAGAGUGAGAAGUCUUUCGCGGAGAGAGCAUUGAAACAACCAACUUGGACUCGAGGGGACGCCUGGCAAGAAGAAAUUAAGCGAGAAGGGAAACCACUUUGGGCCUCAGAGAAAUCUGGCACGAGAGAAGGCUUGCACUGUGAUUAAAAAGGGGAAGAACCACAAGUCUCCAUUUAAGUCAACAAAACUGCUGUCUGGGCAGUGAGAGGGAAAGUGCUUGUGGCUGGCAGCUUUCAGCAACCAUUUGACAACUGCUGUGUACCUGCUGCUCUGUUGGCACCACCUGGCAGCUGUGUGACUGCAGGCAGGUAACUGCUCUCUCUAGGCCUCAGUCUCCCCAGAUGCCAUAUAGAGAUAAUAAUAUGGAGUGAUCG
Molecule: long non-coding RNA, 1520 nt
Organism: Mustela lutreola (European mink)
Lineage: Eukaryota; Metazoa; Chordata; Mammalia; Carnivora; Mustelidae
Exons: 5
Source: RefSeq, a predicted model, not a curated record